RNAcentral lists this ribosomal RNA (515 nucleotides) under Parnassius honrathi. RNAcentral's name for it is "partial 16S ribosomal RNA". The stretch from base 388 to 515 matches the Rfam family "Bacterial large subunit ribosomal RNA", at positions 2473 to 2600 of the family's 2925-position model. The record is from RNAcentral. RNAcentral also lists the same sequence under 1 other name. Lineage: Eukaryota; Metazoa; Arthropoda; Insecta; Lepidoptera; Papilionidae.
GUCUUUUUGAUUAAUAAUUUAAAGUCUAAUCUGCCCACUGAUAAAAAAUUAAAGGGCUGCAGUAUUUUGACUGUACAAAGGUAGCAUAAUCAUUAGUCUCUUAAUUGGUGACUUGUAUGAAAGAUUUGAUGAAAUAUAUACUGUCUCUUUUUAAUUUAUAAAAUUUAAUUUUUUAGUUAAAAAGCUAAAAUUUGUUUAAAAGACGAGAAGACCCUAUAGAGUUUUAUAUUUAUAUAAUUUAUUAUUUUAUAUAAGAUUUAAAAUUUUAGUUUAUAUAAAUAUUUUAUUGGGGAGAUAGAAAAAUUGAAAUAACUUUUUUUAUAAUUUUACAUUAAUAAAUGAAUAAAUGAUCCGUAAUUUACGAUUAUAAGAUAAAAUUACCUUAGGGAUAACAGCGUAAUUUUUUUUUUUAGUUCAAAUAAGAAAAAGAGUUUGCGACCUCGAUGUUGGAUUAAGAUAAAAUUUAAAUGCAAAAGUUUAAAAUUUUUGAUCUGUUCGAUCAUUAAAAUCUUACA